UACGAAGGUGGCAAGCGUUACUCGGAAUUACUAGGCGUAAAGGGCAGGUAGGUGGUUUAGUAAGUCUGUUGUGAAAGCUCCUGGCUUAACCGGGAGAGGUCAACGGAUACUACUAGGCUUGAGUAUAGGAGAGGGUACUGGAAUUCCCGGUGUAGCGGUGAAAUGCGCAGAUAUCGGGAGGAACACCAAUGGCGAAAGCAGGUACCUGGACUAUUACUGACACUCAGCUGCGAAAGCUAGGGGAGCAAAC
RNAcentral lists this ribosomal RNA (250 nucleotides) under uncultured bacterium. Its description in RNAcentral is "partial 16S ribosomal RNA". It matches the Rfam family "Bacterial small subunit ribosomal RNA", at positions 524 to 773 of the family's 1533-position model. The record is from RNAcentral.